This is a long non-coding RNA of Nymphaea colorata (pocket water lily), 738 nucleotides long. RefSeq lists it as uncharacterized. The transcript is spliced from 3 exons. Lineage: Eukaryota; Viridiplantae; Streptophyta; Magnoliopsida; Nymphaeales; Nymphaeaceae. The record is from RefSeq and is a predicted model, not a curated record.
GCAAGUGAGAAAGCUAAAAAAUUAUAGAACAAAUUAAGGUGAAGCUCCAAGAAGGAAUACAAAGAAUCGGCAUCUUUUUAUAAAGAAUGGAGUAUCAUCAUCAGACAACUACAGAACCAACAAACGUGCAGAAAAAAAAAGCAGGAGGAGCCCUCGUCGGAAAUUCCCUCAUCGCCCAUGGCUACUCCUCCGCAUGACAACUUCUAACGCAGAAGGAGCGGUCAGAAGGGCUGUUGGUGUUCUUAAGCUUGGGGCUGGCAGACUUCGUCUUUAAGGAUGAGGAGGAGAAGCAGCAGCGAUGAGAACGGGAAGAGUCGGCAAAGGGAGAGAACUUUCGAACAUUUUGACGUUGCUUUAGGGAACUGACAUGAGUGUGAAGAUGGGGAUUUCAUUAUUAAAGAAAAUCAGAAGUUGACGCAGGAAAAGAUUUAUUUGAUGUUGAAAAAGAUGCAUAAGUACAAGUUGGUGGCAUCCCUACCUGAACUCGUAAUUGAGUUUGACAUGGGGCAUUUGGCUGGACCAUCAGUUUUAUUUUAUGAUUUAGGUCUCUCAUUCAGACUUGGAAAAUUCAUCCGUGGCAUAUGUAUGCUAGGUCCUUGGACCAGGCAUCGGGCCGGACUGGGCUGGCCCGAGGUUCCCGCCCCGCCUACCUCCAGAUCUGGUUAGUUCUGACGGUCAACUUCAAGUACCUUAUUUAAAACUUUUAAUGUUAACCGUUUCUACUACAGUAAAAGGAAG